RNAcentral lists this ribosomal RNA (484 nucleotides) under uncultured bacterium. RNAcentral describes it as "partial 16S ribosomal RNA". It matches the Rfam family "Bacterial small subunit ribosomal RNA", at positions 30 to 507 of the family's 1533-position model. The record is from RNAcentral.
AUUGAACGCUGGCGGCAGGCCUAACACAUGCAAGUCGAGCGGAUGAAGGGAGCUUGCUCCUGGAUUCAGCGGCGGACGGGUGAGUAAUGCCUAGGAAUCUGCCUGGUAGUGGGGGAUAACGUCCGGAAACGGGCGCUAAUACCGCAUACGUCCUGAGGGAGAAAGUGGGGGAUCUUCGGACCUCACGCUAUCAGAUGAGCUUAGGUCGGAUUAGCUAGUUGGUGGGGUUAAGGCCUACCAAGGCAACGAUCCGUAACUGGUCUGAGAGGAUGAUCAGUCACACUGGACCUGAGACACGGUCCAGACUCCUACGGGAGGCAGCAGUGGGGAAUAUUGGACAAUGGGCGAAAGCCUGAUCCAGCCAUGCCGCGUGUGUGAAGAAGGUCUUCGGAUUUUAAAGCUCUUUAAGUUGGGAGGAAGGGCAGUAAGUUAAUACCUUGCUGUUUUGACGUUACCAAAAGAAUAAGCACCGGCUAACUUCGUG